AGUGAACGCUGGCGGCAGGCCUAAUACAUGCAAGUCGAACGGCAGCACAGCAGAGCUUGCUCUGUGGGUGGCGAGUGGCGGACGGGUGAGGAAUACAUGGGAAUCUGCCCAGUCGUGGGGGAUAACGUAUGGAAACGUACGCUAAUACCGCAUGCGCCCUACGGGGGAAAGCCGGGGACCGCAAGGCCUGGCGCGAUUGGAUGAGCCCAUGUUCGAUUAGCUAGUUGGCGGGGUAAAGGCCCACCAAGGCGACGAUCGAUAGCUGGUCUGAGAGGAUGAUCAGCCACACUGGAACUGAGACACGGUCCAGACUCCUACGGGAGGCAGCAGUAGGGAAUAUUGGACAAUGGGGGCAACCCUGAUCCAGCCAUGCCGCGUGAGUGAAGAAGGCCCUCGGGUUGUAAAGCUCUUUUGUCCGGAAAGAAAGCAAUCGGUUAAUA
Molecule: ribosomal RNA, 440 nt
Filed under: uncultured bacterium
Lineage: Bacteria
Description: bacterial SSU rRNA
Rfam family: Bacterial small subunit ribosomal RNA
Source: RNAcentral